UCCGUGUCUUCAAACUGCUCUUUUGAGUUGAGCGUGAUUUUACAGAGAAGUAUUUUAACUUUACCCAAAAAGCACUUUGCUUCAAACUCAUUUACAGUAGUCGCGUAGCAACAGACAAGGCCGUCGGCGGCGCUUCCUACAGGCAUCUGUUUGCAUCUUACGACACCAGCAGAUUAGCAAACGCAUCGCUAAUUGAUUUCUGUGUGCAGGGCGCAAAAGAGGCUGAAGCAUAACGUCGUGUAAGAGGUCGAUGGCGCUUGAAGGAGCUGGGUUUGUCCAGGGGUCCUUCUGUUCCCCCUGUGUCUGCUUCUCUGAGGCCUCUCUCCAUUCAAAGACAUGGCUCAGGCAUCUAUGGGCACGGCGGCCCGUCCAGAGCACAGCCCCUCGGCCCGGGGGCCCGGCUCCACCUCGUCCCCCACGAGGACCCGCGUUGGGAUGAUGGCUGGAUGGAUGAUUGUUUUCUGCUGCCCCGGGCCUCUUCAUUCACAGCUUGGACGAGGUAACAGCUUCAAAGUUCGGGCCUCGUGAAACAAUAUGCUGAGGCUGACAGUCCGAGGUGGAAGUUCCUCCCACACCAACAUUCAAUUUAUCUAAGUCCACAUCACUUUGGUCUGUUUACUGUGCACACACAACAGUAGUCAUGUGUAAUUUUUCUGAAUCAACAGGGCUCUAGUAGCUCUGCUCUGUCGUUUGCCUAAAAACAUUCAAGCACCACAUUAAUCAUAAUAAUCUUGUUUUUCUUGUAUUGAAUAUAAAGUGUGUCUUG
Molecule: long non-coding RNA, 766 nt
Organism: Betta splendens (Siamese fighting fish)
Lineage: Eukaryota; Metazoa; Chordata; Actinopteri; Anabantiformes; Osphronemidae
Exons: 3
Source: RefSeq, a predicted model, not a curated record